AGAAGUGGGCCUGUUGGAUGCCACUACCAGAAGAAGGAUAUAACAUUGCAACGUCCCUUCCAGACAAAGAAAAGAGCCUGUGUGAAGACAGCAUUGUUGGAAAACAACAAACGUUUGUGUUUUUUUUUUAUUUGUUUGUUUUGUGUGGACAUCUUUUUUUAUUUUUAAAAAACUUUAAUUUUAAGUUUGGGGUCUAAUGCAAGUUUGCUGCCUAGAUAAACUUGUGUUACGGGGGUUUGUUGUACAGAUUAUUUCAUCACCCAGGUAUUAAGCCUAGUACACAUUAGUUAUUUUUUCCUGAUCCUCUCCCUCCUCCCAUCCUCCACCUUCCAAACGGCCGCAGUGUGUCUGUGUCUUGUUCCCUACCAUGUGUCCAUGUGUUCUUAUCAUUCAGCUCCCACUUAUAAGUGAGAACAUGUUGGUAUUUGGUUUUCUGUUUCUUUGUUAGUUUGCUAGGGAUAAUGGCCUCCAGCUCCAUCCAUGACCCUGCAAAGGACAUGAUCUCAUUCCUUUUUAUGGCUGCAUAGUAUUCUGUGGUGUAUACGAACCACAUUUUAUUUAUCCAGUCUGUUAUUGAUGGGAAUUGAGGUUGAUUCCAUGUCUUUGUUAUUGUGAAUAGUAGUGCUGCAAUGAACAUACACGGGCAUGUAUCUUUAUAAUAUAAUAAUUUAUAUUCCUCUGGGUAUAUACCCAGUAAUGGGAUUGCUGGGUCGAAUGGUAUUCCUGUGUUUAGGUCUUUGAGGAAUUGCCACACUGUCUUCCACAAUGGAUGAACUAAUUUACACUCCCACCGACAGUGUAUAAGCAUUCUUUUUUUUUCUCCACCAUCUCACCAGCAUCUGUUAUUUUUUGACUUUUUAAUAAUAGUCAUUCUGGCUGGUGUGAAAUGGUAUCUCAUUGUUGUUUUGAUUUGCAUUUCUUUAAAGAUCAGUGAUGCUGAGCUUUUUUCAUAUGAUUACAACAAAUGUUUUGAUACCUCUUUUUGAACCAAAGUUCCAGGGAGGGCCAGAGUAAGGAGAGUGUUAUUGCAGAACGAGAUAUAUUGGAAACAAUGGUUCUGAUCCCAUUCCCUCUUUGAAACCCUGAGAGACAACUGCUAAUGCUAUUGGCUCCAGUGUUCAGGGGAGUGAUAGCAUAAAAAGGGAGUAGAGAGGUGGCCACACGUGCUAGCUCUGUUGAGCUGCACUUAUCUCCAGUGGGAUAUCAAGGGACCCAGCAGUUCCUAAAAGCCUUUUCUGGUGGCAGAAAGGAGAGUAGCUAAGAAUUCUCUGGGGGUAGAAUUGCCAGGGACAGGGAAAGACAGGAGUCCUGGCACACCUGCACACUGAAUUGGGACCCAGUGGGCAAGGCAAGUCUUGAUCGAGCCAAAUAAAUAGAUCAUCAUUGUGUCAGCUGCUGGCUUGAGCAGUGGGCAGCAUAGAAUGACCACUCCCAACCAGGUACAACCCUGUCACUUGGACCUUCACAGAACCCAGGCCAGGGCAGAACCAGACCAGCCAGCCACUCUGCAGUAGAGAUCAGUGAAUACCAGAGUUGGCACCUGGAGUUGUAUCCCUUUUCCCUGCUACCGUUAAGUCAUCCUAGUAAUCCUCCUUGCAGAAGAGAAGUAGGGUGGAAGAUUUGACGAGGUGAAUGUGUACAUGAAAUACGCUGUGUUACCCCAAGGAUACUCUUAACUGGAAGGAAUUGAGAGCUCUUAAACGGCAGAGUUCAGGGUUUUGUUGUUUGUGUUGUUUCUUUUUUCUACUCUUGGUGGGUUGGGUGGGAAUUCUUAGGGAGAAGAUGUCAUCAGUUAGAAAUAAGAACUAAUUUUUCUCAGUACAUUGACUAGGGGGCCAGAAUACUUAUUUGCAACUCUAGUACCUAUCAAGUACCUCAUUUAAAUUUUUACCAAAAAAAUUUUUACCUGGGUGUCUAACAAAUGAGGACACUGAAAUUUAGUGAGAGUAAGUGAUUUUUCCUAUGGCCCUUCACUGAACCAGGUGGUGAAACCUAUAUCCAAAUAAAACUUGGAAUUUGGAGUCUUAAGCCCUAUAGUAUUAAUAUUUUGUUAACUGUUAGAUGAAGCAUUGCAACAGUAGGAAAUCCCUUUCUUAAGUUUUGGGGUGCUUUCAGGGUUAGCAUGGUAGGAGCAGAGAACCCAGAAAUGGUCUGUUCAGCUUAGAGUGAAUGUUCUGAGCUUGAGAUCCAUUGCUGAUGCGGCACUGCACUGUGGGGUUAUGAAUUGCUUCUGGCUUGGCAUCAAAGCGGAAAUGCGUGGGAAUGCACACUGGGUUGGCUGGGCUCCUGCCCUGGGUGAAUGUGGUGCAGAUGGUCCUACUGAGGAUGAAAAGCCCGGUGGAGAGAUGUUCAAUAGGUUAAUUGUGCACGUUCUUGGAUGAGUCAGCCUGUAAUUGCUGAUACCAAUAUGUUCGGCGUUGCUGCCUCAGGGGCUUGGUGUGUGAGUCAGAUGAUGGAAAUGAGGAUAAAGUUGGCCUUGUUUCCUGAAAUCUUAGAAACCGAAUAAUAAGUUUUUGAACUUGGUAUGUGAUCAAAAUCACUUUGGGAGAAAGAUGAAAAGACAGAAUGAAAAACUUGUUGUAAUCAAUGCAUUCCUAGACUGCGAACUCUUUCAAUGUUGACUGCAGCUCUGCCAUCUACAUAACCUGAGGAAAGGAAGAGGACUAUGCGCAGACUGACAAGAGCAGUCCCAUUUGUAUUAAUACAAGGAAUGGUCAGUCCUCAUCUGGAAUGACUUAGGACUGAUAGAUGUGCAUUUACACCACUACAUUGAUUGGAGGAAAGAAAGGACAUUGAUUGGAAGGACCCACUGGCAUUGCGGAGGAAUGGCCUUACAAAAUGAGAUGGUCAUGACCAUCCCUGGAGAAUCUGACAUAUGGAGUGAAGACUGUAGAGAGGAUGUGCUGACUGCUCUAAGUGUCAUCAAUGAGGGUACACAGAAUAAAAGAAUGUCUGCCACUAGCACUACCCCUUGGGUGCUAUAGACCAAAGGUGGCAUCAUGACUAGAAUCCAAAUGGCAAGAGCCAAUUAAUAUGCCCACACACAGAACUUAAAACCAAGGGUUGGCAAUAGACCAUGCACAGUUCAGAGCCCUUAACUUGUACUCUGUUGGAGGUCAGUGAGAGUUGCCCUGAGACACCAUGAGACUGGUGACCCAGUAUCAUGGGAUCCCAUGAAAUAAAUACUGCUCAGGUCAGCAAAAGCAAUCUCCAUGCCAGGCCAUACUUCUGGAAAUGGAGGCCCAGAUGACCUCAUAGGUGAAACUCCUAGAGCUCUGCAUUGUAUCUGGUCAACCCCAUAUGCAUGGUAGAGGGCUUGAGAGCUCUCUUACGGGGACAAAUGGAGCUUCUGGGUUAUAUGGAUCCUGGUCUAGAUUUGGGGUCCCCUGCCUGGAUAGCACUGCCAGCCCUGGCCAGUUGUAGGUACUGGAAGGGUACAUAAAAAUUUUUAAGGAACCCUUUUCCUUCCUACCCUCCACAAGGCAGUACCCAAGGCAGGGGCUUUACCUGCUUGCAUCUAAUGGUGGUACUACUUAUUAUCAUUCUUGUUUUACAGAUGAGCAAACUGAGAUAGGAAGAAAUUAAGUAAUUUUUCCAAAGUUAAACUACUAGUAAGUAGCAAGAUAUACAAUCAUAGAAUCUAGUUCCUGUACUCAUAACCAAUAUACUACAUGGUCUCUGAAGUACUGUAGUAUAUAUGAAAGAACUUUUUGAGAAUGAAAAAUGUUAUUUCUCAAAUUUCAUAAAAUACAGAAGUGCUUCAAAAAAUGCAUUCUAGUUAUAAACGUAAAGAGCUGUGAAGGCCAAUUAUUACAUAUAAAAAUACCAUGAACCCCCACCAGUCAUUUAACCAAUUAAAAAUAAACACUGCAGGAAAUAUAUGGGGAGAAAGAUGUAGUAGGAAGAGAGUUCUGGCAGCAAAAACCAUGAGCUUUCAUGCAAGGCAGGAUACUCUGCUUUACUUAUGGCUGAGACCUUGAUCAAGAAGACUUAGAAUAAGACUGAAGACUGUGAUUUACAUGGUCAGAAAAGAGCUACAGAGCAGCUGGAUAUUGAUAUCAUUCUUCUUGCUUAAUGAGGGAGACGAAGAAUAAGUUAGAGGUUUUUAGAAACACAUCACAAAGGAAACUUCCAUGGUAGAAUCUGGCCUGAACUCAGCAACAGACCGACUGUGUCAAUUGAUCUAGAGGCAGUUUCAUGAAGUGUCAGAGUAGCAGCAACAAUUUGCUCCUAACAUUAGAGACCUCAUUCGUAUGCUUAAAAGAGCUACUGAUGAAGAAGUUGUGAUUCCGAUAGUGAUGGAGAAACUAAAUCUCACAUAAAUAAAAAUUAUAAGCCUUUGAAAAAAAUAUUUAAAAACUUUUUGAAGGCACUAAAAACAUAAAUGAAGUUAAAGGGAAUAUGAGCAGUAAAAGGAAGGAAAUGCAUAGAAUAAGUUCUACAUUUAUAACACUUUUCCAUAAAGGCUCUUUCCAGUCUACAUAAUGGGGAUGGCUAAAAUUUAUAUACAAAUCUACAGUCUUAUUGGCUUGAGGUAUCAGAGAACGCAAUUUGGGCUGUCAGAAAGGGUGAAAUUGAGAAAGAAGUCCUGAAAAGGGAGAAACAAAGGGAAAAAUCACAAAUUUGCACAUAAACUUUUCUCAAAUAUCUGUCUGCUACAAAAGCUACAUGUGUGCAAAGAAGACGACAAGGAGCACAGCAAAAAAGCACUGAUUGGAUGACUUCAAAAGCUAAGCAGACAUUUUAGCUAGUGUCCACCACAAGGAUUAUGGAGUUUGGAGUUUGAAUGCUGACAAGGUAGAAGGCCUUAAGUGUAAAGAUUAUGGUUCUAGGAUUGGGAUUAAGGGGAACAUUAAAAUAGAUCCUGACAUAGUUUGGAUCUGUGUCCAUGUUGAAUUGUAAUCCCCAGUGUUGCAGGUGGGGCCUGGUGGGAGGUGAUUGGAUUAUGGGGGUGGAUUUCUCUGUUGGUGCUGUUCUUGUGAUAGUGAGUGAGUGAGCUACCAUAGUAGCUUCAUUGCUUAUUGUGUUUUAUCCUGAUUCUCACAUCUGACUCUAGCCCUCUCAUGUUUUCACAGAACGUGCAACAUGGCACCUCCUAUUGCCAUGAAAGUAAGAGCAUGUCAGUUUAAAAUAAUCAUUUUAUCCCCAGAGUGAGCAUAGUGCCUGGCUUCUAAUAGUUAUUCAAUAAAUUAUCUCAAAACAAUUAAAUGAAUGAGUGUUUUGCCCUAGAUGUGUCUAAUCACUGCUCCCAUACAUUCUAUUCUAUGUCUAUUGCCUAGCCUACAUUCCCUCUACUUCUUUACACCUUAUUCAUCCUUUAUAGCCAGACUCAAGUGUUAACCCCUCUGUGAGUUUUUCCCAGAUGAUAAUUCUGGUCUCUCCCUUCUCUGAACAUAUAUUUAACUUUCAGUGAGAUCAUUACUCAUUACAGAGGUAGGAGGCAGGGCUGGACUCUGGAGGCGGGGCUUGGGCACUGGACCAGAUUAAAGACUAACUGAAACAGGGAAGAGGCAAAAGUGCCUCUUCAUAAGACACACCCACCAAUGCCAUGUCAGUUUGCUGUUGCCAUGGCAAAACCCAAAAUUUAUUGCUCCUUUAUCAUGGUAAUGGCCUGAUGAUCUGAAAGUUACCACCCUUUUUCUAGAAAUAUCUAGAAAUAUCUGCAUAAUCUGCUCCUUAAUUUGCAUGUAAUUAAAAGUGGGUAUAAAUAUGACAGCAGAACUGCCUCUGAGCUGCUAUUCUGGGCACACUGCCUAUGGAGUAUCCCUGUUCCACAAGGUUCAGUACCUCUGCUGCUGCUGUACAUGGCUGCUUCAAUAAAAGUUGCUGUUUAACACCAUGAGUUCACCCUUGCAUUCUUUUUUGGGUGAAGCCAAGAACCCUCCUGGGAUAGGCCAGCCUCAAUUUUGGGGUUUGCCUACCCUGCAUCAUCUAGCAACCACAAAGGGAUGAAGACAGCAAGUGGAGG
Molecule: long non-coding RNA, 5968 nt
Filed under: Homo sapiens (human)
Lineage: Eukaryota; Metazoa; Chordata; Mammalia; Primates; Hominidae
Description: HSALNT0047883
Source: RNAcentral